This 288-nucleotide ribosomal RNA is filed under the name uncultured bacterium. RNAcentral describes it as "partial 16S ribosomal RNA". It matches the Rfam family "Bacterial small subunit ribosomal RNA", at positions 773 to 1060 of the family's 1533-position model. The record is from RNAcentral.
GUGGAUUAGAUACCCUGGUAGUCCACACCGUAAACGAUGUCUACUAGCUGUUCGUGACCUUGUGUUGUGAGUAGCGCAGCUAACGCACUAAGUAGACCGCCUGGGGAGUACGGUCGCAAGAUUAAAACUCAAAUGAAUUGACGGGGGCCCGCACAAGCGGUGGAGCAUGUGGUUUAAUUCGACGCAACGCGAAGAACCUUACCUACUCUUGACAUCUACGGAAGACUGCAGAGAUGCGGUUGUGCCUUCGGGAACCGUAAGACAGGUGCUGCAUGGCCGUCGUCAGCU